This 250-nucleotide ribosomal RNA is filed under the name uncultured prokaryote. RNAcentral describes it as "partial 16S ribosomal RNA". It matches the Rfam family "Bacterial small subunit ribosomal RNA", at positions 524 to 775 of the family's 1533-position model. The record is from RNAcentral.
AACGUAGGGGGCGAGCGUUAUCCGGAUUUAUUGGGCGUAAAGAGUUCGUAGGCGGUUUGUUAAGUCUAAGAUUUAAGCCCGGAGCUUAACUCCGGUUCGUUUUAGAAACUGGCAGACUUGAGUGUGGUAGAGGCAAGUGGAAUUUCUAGUGUAGCGGUUAAAUGCGUAGAUAUUAGAAGGAACACAGUGGCGAAGGCGGCUUGCUGGGCCAUUACUGACGCUGAGGAACGAAAGCGUGGGGAGCAAAUAG